Molecule: ribosomal RNA, 125 nt
Filed under: Erinaceus europaeus (western European hedgehog)
Lineage: Eukaryota; Metazoa; Chordata; Mammalia; Eulipotyphla; Erinaceidae
Source: RNAcentral
GUCUACGGCCAUAUCACCCUGAAUACGCCCGAUCUCGUCUGAUCUCGGAAGCUAAGCAGGGAUCGGGACCUGGUUAGUACUCUGGAUGGGUAGAUCGCCUGGGAAUACCCGGGUGCUGUACGGCU